Long non-coding RNA from Glossina fuscipes, 646 nucleotides. RefSeq lists it as uncharacterized. The record is from RefSeq and is a predicted model, not a curated record. The transcript is spliced from 4 exons. Lineage: Eukaryota; Metazoa; Arthropoda; Insecta; Diptera; Glossinidae.
GAAAUUAGAAAUGAAAUCUGAAUGAAAUUUUUAAUUAACAAUGAAUUUGUCCUGUAAAAUAAUUAUAAGUAAAAUACUUUCAAGUAAUUUUGAAGUAACUCGGAAAAAUAUUUUAACAAACUGCAAAAAUAUACUGAUAGAGUUAAUGGAAACUGUAACAAAGGCUAAAUAAGAAACAGAUACAUAUUAUCGAAGACCCUGAGAAUAUAAAAACUAAAAGAAAUUUAUAAACAGUUGAAGACUUUGAAAUAUUAACAAAAGUGAGUGUGAUGAAAAGUUUGAAAAUUGAAAUUAAACUGAACGUGAAAACGUAAUAACAGUUAAAAUAAAUUCAUCUUCAAAUAUAAAUUACUAAAUAAAAUGAAAUGAAAACAAAAACUGAAAGGUUUUACACCUUCAUGCUUCAACGAAGCCAUUUAACCAACAUUGCAAUAAAAUCAACAACAGUAACAUUAAUAACAAUAACAACAAACAGCACUAUAACAUCAAAUCAGUAGCGCAAGAUUAUUCGGCGAUAGAUGUUUUAGAUAAACUUGGUCUAGUUGUUGCUGAGUUGAACAUUGCUCAAAGCUAAAAAUCAACACGUCACCUAAAACUGUUGUUUAAAUAUUGUUGAAAACAACCAGAAAGCAGUGCCGACAUAGAG